This 497-nucleotide ribosomal RNA is filed under the name uncultured bacterium. RNAcentral's name for it is "partial 16S ribosomal RNA". It matches the Rfam family "Bacterial small subunit ribosomal RNA", at positions 36 to 507 of the family's 1533-position model. The record is from RNAcentral.
UCUUCCCUCUGGCGGCGUGCCUAAUACAUGCAAGUCGAGCGAACAGACGAGGAGCUUGCUCCUCUGACGUUAGCGGCGGACGGGUGAGUAACACGUGGAUAACCUACCUAUAAGACUGGGAUAACUUCGGGAAACCGGAGCUAAUACCGGAUAAUAUAUUGAACCGCAUGGUUCAAUAGUGAAAGACGGUUUUGCUGUCACUUAUAGAUGGAUCCGCGCCGCAUUAGCUAGUUGGUAAGGUAACGGCUUACCAAGGCGACGAUGCGUAGCCGACCUGAGAGGGUGAUCGGCCACACGGGAACUGGGACACGGUCCAGACUCCUACGGGAGGCAGCAGUAGGGAAUCUUACGCAAUGGGCGAAAGCCUGACGGAGCAACGCCGCGUGAGUGAUGAAGGUCUUCGGAUCGUAAAGCUCUGUUAUGGGGGAAAAACAAAUGUGUAAGUAACUAUGCACGUCUUGACGGUACCUAAUCAGAAAGCCACGGCUAACUACGUG